CAGCCGCCGCGGUAAUACGGAGGGUGCAAGCGUUAAUCGGAAUUACUGGGCGUAAAGCGUGCGUAGGCGGUGAGUUAAGUCUGCUGUGAAAUCCCCGGGCUCAACCUGGGAAUGGCAGUGGAUACUGGCUCGCUAGAGUGUGUCAGAGGAUGGUGGAAUUCCCGGUGUAGCGGUGAAAUGCGUAGAGAUCGGGAGGAACAUCAGUGGCGAAGGCGGCCAUCUGGGACAACACUGACGCUGAGGCACGAAAGCGUGGGGAGCAAACAGGAUUAGAUACCCGCGUAGUCCCUGUCUCUUAUAA
Molecule: ribosomal RNA, 301 nt
Filed under: uncultured bacterium
Lineage: Bacteria
Description: partial 16S ribosomal RNA
Rfam family: Bacterial small subunit ribosomal RNA
Source: RNAcentral